UGUUAGGGAAGAACAAGUGCCGUUCAAAUAGGGCGGCGCCUUGACGGUACCUAACCAGAAAGCCACGGCUAACUACGUGCCAGCAGCCGCGGUAAUACGUAGGUGGCAAGCGUUGUCCGGAAUUAUUGGGCGUAAAGGGCUCGCAGGCGGUUUCUUAAGUCUGAUGUGAAAGCCCCCGGCUCAACCGGGGAGGGUCAUUGGAAACUGGGGAACUUGAGUGCAGAAGAGGAGAGUGGAAUUCCACGUGUAGCGGUGAAAUGCGUAGAGAUGUGGAGGAACACCAGUGGCGAAGGCGACUCUCUGGUCUGUAACUGACGCUGAGGAGCGAAAGCGUGGGGAGCGAACAGGAUUAGAUACCCUGGUAGUCCACGCCGUAAACGAUGAAGUGGGUAAGUGUUAGGGGGUUUCCGCCCC
Molecule: ribosomal RNA, 414 nt
Filed under: Bacillus amyloliquefaciens
Lineage: Bacteria; Bacillati; Bacillota; Bacilli; Caryophanales; Bacillaceae
Description: bacterial SSU rRNA
Rfam family: Bacterial small subunit ribosomal RNA
Source: RNAcentral